This is a non-coding RNA of Electrophorus electricus (electric eel), 448 nucleotides long. NCBI's taxonomy places the organism in Eukaryota, Metazoa, Chordata, Actinopteri, Gymnotiformes, Gymnotidae. The record is from RefSeq and is a predicted model, not a curated record.
ACUUAAACCUCGCCUGGUCCAGGACUCCAGCUCAGUACAUCGCUACCUCUUCUGGACACUGCUGGAAUUGCUACUCUCAUCUCUGCUCCAUUUAUUUGUGGUCUCUUCCGUUUUAUGCUUCUCCUAUUGUUGUUUACUUCUGUUUAUUAAAGUCUGCCGUUUACCUCCAUUACACACAUCUCGCUCCUGUGUUCAGAAUGCUGCACAAAGACCACUUUGGAAGUGGUUGGAGGUGACAAACAUCUGAAGCUCACAAGCAACACCCGUGGACUGAUAAAUGUCUUUUGUAUCUACACUGCAAACACGUUCCACGCAAUCCACACCCAUGCAAUCUCCAAAUCCUUACGGCGCUCUUGUGUUAGGCCUCGUUCUGUGCCUGAUAGUGUCUGUUUUUCUAGUUCUCUCAUAUGUAUUAAUAAUCAUCAUCCUCAAGUAUAUAUGCGAAAGG